GUCUUCUUGUUAUAUUUAAGAAGUCUGGCCUGCCCAGUGAAAAUAUUUUAACGGCCGCGGUAUAUUGACCGUGCAAAGGUAGCAUAAUCAUUAGUCUUUUAAUAGAGGGCUGGUAUGAAGGGUUUAACGAGGUGUUGACUGUCUCAUUUAAUUUGGAUUUAGAAUUUAAUUUUUUAGUUAAAAAGCUAAAAUUUUAUUGGAAGACGAGAAGACCCUAUAGAGCUUUAUAUUUAUAUUAUUAAUUAGAGGUUGAAUUAUUAUUACUUAUUAUUAAUAUUAAAUAUUUUGUUGGGGUGACAAAAAUAUAUAAUUAACUUUUUUAUUUAGUUAACAUUGAUUUAUGAAUAAUAGAUCCAAUCUUAUUGAUUGAUAGAUUAAGUUACCUUAGGGAUAACAGCGUAAUCCUCUUCCAGAGUUCAUAUUUACAAGAGGGCUUGCGACCUCGAUGUUGGAUUAAGAUAAUAAUUAGGUGUAGCCGCUUAAUUAAUAGGUCUGUUCGACCUUUAAAUUCUU
Molecule: ribosomal RNA, 513 nt
Filed under: Sarasaeschna lieni
Lineage: Eukaryota; Metazoa; Arthropoda; Insecta; Odonata; Aeshnidae
Description: partial 16S rRNA
Rfam family: Bacterial large subunit ribosomal RNA
Source: RNAcentral